This 654-nucleotide long non-coding RNA is filed under the name Pongo abelii (Sumatran orangutan). RNAcentral describes it as "lincRNA". Lineage: Eukaryota; Metazoa; Chordata; Mammalia; Primates; Hominidae. The record is from RNAcentral.
GAAACUGAGGCCCCAGGACCCCCAGAGCUAGAGGCUGAGCCUGGCGUGAACCCAAGAGCUCUAGGCAACCAAAUCUGUUCUCUUCCCUUCAAGGGCCUCCCUGCAGGAUUAUGAGAAGCCAAGAUGGUAAAGAGAUAUUUGUAGUUGCCAUCUGGAGAUUCUUGUGGGCAACAUCAUGAGCUCCUGGAAAGAGAGGUUCAGCCGGAACUUGAGGCACUGGGCAACUGUCUGGACAUCAGUGGCAAGCCCAGCCAGACCGAUGUACAACCAACCACCCAUGGGAAAGAUCUCCUGGAAGUCCGUGGUCACCAUCUGGGCCUGGAUCCCAAAGUGCCUGUCUGCAGCGAUGGCCGCACAGUUCUUCCCCUUCAUGGCCAUGAUGGCUCCUCCGUUAUAGGACAUAAUAGGCAUGAUUGUGUGGUGUACGAGGACCCCUCCAUUGCCGGAGCAAUUCCAGUAAACCGGGUCUAGCCUUCACUCCUGCCCAUCAUUUCUGACAUUUAGACUCUACACAGAGGGCCCUGAGAUUCCAGGCCUUUACUCAUCCUGCAUCCCCUACCUACUUGGAUGAAUAUUAAUAUUUACAAUAACAGAGAAAAGUUCUCCAGAAUGUCUGGCAGGUGAAAGACGUUAAAUAAAUGGAAAGUGUUGUUA